GUCCUUUGUGUGUUAAAAUCGAUUUAUAUGCCUUGGAUUAUUACUUUAAGUCGGUUUUAAGUUAGGCGUAAUUUCAAACUCGCAGCAAAAAAGAGGGAAGAAACGUUGGUUGCCGCAACGGAGCAUUAGCCGUAUCCAAAACACCAAACCAAAGCCGUCUUCUACUCGAGUCCCCUCGCGCCGGCGACCCAACUCAACUAAUCGUAAUUACUGAAUUGCAGCAGAUCAAACUUGUCAAUAAGCAGAACAGGACUAUCGUAGAGAUAGCGGCAUAUGAUGACAGACAAGAUCCAGUGAUAUUUGAGUAUGCAUUUCUCAUGAAAAUCUUUGCAUGUAUGGUUAUGUUUUUCAGUAUCUUUGUGAUGUAAUCUGAAUUUCGUCAAUUUGGUGCAGAUGUUUUAUGUAAUACCAAGUUUUAGCAGAGUUUGUACAGGUACUAAGGAGCAGUACAAGUUCAAGAAUUGAGUCACCAUUACUUCAGUAUCUAAGCAUAUUGAUUCAAAACAUGGAUGGUGAACAUUCAAUGUGUAAGAUGUUUAGUAUCAUAGAUAUGUAUGUUAAAACUUCUUGUAUGUUAAGGCUUUUUCUUUCUUCUUUUCUGUUGGCAUGUCUCCAUAAAUUCUCUUGCUUCUUGGGCUUUGGAAACUGCAAUCUCGAACAUAAAUGUUGACAUGCCAUGCGCAAAUAAUUGCAUUUUAACUUUUUCUGACUAUUUCUUUUGUCUCUCAAAUUCUUUUUUCUGUUAACUCUUGACUAUUGUUCUUGCAAUUUUGGUGAUAUAUGCAAUUGUAUGAUGCAGAUUAUUGUUUAAGCAAUGACUAUAUCGGCAACAUAAUAACACAUCAAUAUGACUCUGACACAGGAGAUUUUGCUCUUUAUUACAUGUCUUUCAUAAGAUUGUGUUAUUAUUCUUUCUCCUUAAAAUUUCUAAAGCAUAGCAAUGUACCUUUCAUAAAUAGAUUACCAGUUUCCACUGAUUUUUUUCUUGCAGAAACUAUUGUUUGACUCGACUAUUAAAGAUGGGAAACACAUUUGACUAUAUUCAUGAUCCUGUUUUUCUGUUAAAUCAGAGCAGGGAGCAGCAAAAUAGAUAGAGACAUGCUUUGCCUUCUUAAGGUUCAUUGGAACAACUGUGUUUUGGCUUUUCCAACAGUGGAUGGAAGUAUUCUUGUUAGAAUUAUGCCUCAGAUUUUCAGGGCAUUAUUGAAGGUUUUAGCAAACUAACCACCUGUUUCCCCACCAAUAUAGUGGCACACAGGGUGGUUUUUGCAAAAGCUGCUGCAAGGAAAUAUGCUCACCGAUCACAAUAUCCACCUAUGCAACGUAAGCGUCCUACUGAUUGGUUGUGCUUUCUUUAAAUUAAUUAUGCCAAUGGGCAGUAUUACUGCUUCUGACAAUUUCAUCUUAGAACAAUGAUAUUUCCUGUUCAUGCAUGGUGGGUAAGCUGAAACCGCUUGCCUCCUUUACUUAGGUUUAGCUGGUUUUUCCCUCAAAAGCAGGAAGUGGGUGUUCCUUUCAAAGCAAAAGCUCCUCUUUUUUUUAUUUUUUUUUUUUUUUUUAUUUUCACCCACUCCUUCCUAUUGGUAUAUAUUUAAAACUUCCUUGCAGGGUCUAGCUUUGAUCUCUAUAUUCAUCUUUUUGUACUUUCACCGUUAUUUUUUAUUUUUUCCUUAUUACAUUAAAUGGGAAAAAGGUGAGUCCAUCAUGCGUAGCUCAGUGAACAACGUGUUUGGGGUGGAAAAAAAAGUGACAGGGAACUGACAAAUUUAAUUGUCUAAUCUCUCGUUGAAAUAAAAUCCAUAGGCUUUUUCCCCCUAUGUAUAGUCUCAAAAGGAAGGGAUAAGUACAUAUAAAAUAUAUUGUGAUAGUGGAAGUCUAAAACUUCAGACAUAAGCCUACUCAUCUUUUGCUUUUUUGGAAGCCAAUUAAA
This is a non-coding RNA of Durio zibethinus, 1930 nucleotides long. The record is from RefSeq and is a predicted model, not a curated record. Lineage: Eukaryota; Viridiplantae; Streptophyta; Magnoliopsida; Malvales; Malvaceae.